GAUGAACGCUGGCGGCGUGCCUAAUACAUGCAAGUCGAGCGAACGGACGAGAAGUUUGCUGCUCUGAUGUUAGCGGCGGACGGGUGAGUAACACGUGGAUAACCUACCUAUAAGACUGGGAUAACUUCGGGAAACCGUAGCUAAUACCGGAUAAUAUUUUGAACCGCAGGGUUCAAAAGUGAAAGACGGUCUUGCUGUCACUUAUAGAUGGAUCCGCGCUGCAUUAGCUAGUUGGUAAGGUAACGGCUUACCAAGGCAACGAUGCAUAGCCGACCUGAGAGGGUGAUCGGCCACACUGGAACUGGGACACGGUCCAGACUCCUACGGGAGGCAGCAGUAGGGAAUCUUCCGCAAUGGGCGAAGGCCUGACGGAGCAACGCCGCGUGAGUGAUGAAGGUCUUCGGAUCGUAAAACUCUGUUAUUAGGGAAGAACAUAUGUGUAAGUAACUGUGCACAUCUUGACGGUACCUAAUCAGAAAGCCACGGCUAACUACGUG
RNAcentral lists this ribosomal RNA (497 nucleotides) under uncultured bacterium. RNAcentral describes it as "partial 16S ribosomal RNA". It matches the Rfam family "Bacterial small subunit ribosomal RNA", at positions 28 to 507 of the family's 1533-position model. The record is from RNAcentral.